This is a long non-coding RNA of Ornithorhynchus anatinus (platypus), 553 nucleotides long. RefSeq lists it as uncharacterized. NCBI's taxonomy places the organism in Eukaryota, Metazoa, Chordata, Mammalia, Monotremata, Ornithorhynchidae. The transcript is spliced from 2 exons. The record is from RefSeq and is a predicted model, not a curated record.
AGAGGGAUUUAAGUCAAUAAAUUCUAGGGAGAGACUAAAAACAAAAGGGAAGAGAUGAAGUCUCUUAGGCUUUCACUCUACAAAGGCAAAUGACCGAUCCGUCGGUCCAUGGUAUUUAUUGAGCGUUUAAUGUCGGCGGAGCAGUGGACCCGGUGCUUGGCCGAGCACGAGUCAGUGGGUGGACAGAAUCCCCGCCCUCGAGACCCUUACGAAAGAGUUUUCCCCAAGACGUCCACGGGGAAUGAGCCCCGGAAGAGUUCCACGAGCAAGGGGGCCCUCGAAUUCAAGACGCGGAAAUGUCCACCCCUCGGGUCGCGCUUCCAGAAAAACACCCCUUUCCUAGGAUACGAGGGCGUGCCCGGCGGAUCUGGAUUUUUACAUCAUGUACAGACUUCGGUAUCUUGGUGAAAAACCCCGAAGACGUAGGAUACUCUUAAGGAGCGAACGAGUGACGCGGGUGAGGACAUGAGACCCAACAGGGUUCAGUGGUGGCCAAAAAGAACCCUUCAAUGCAUCCCUUUCUUCAAUGCCAUAUAAAGUUUAUUUUUCUUUA